Molecule: long non-coding RNA, 257 nt
Organism: Mytilus californianus (California mussel)
Lineage: Eukaryota; Metazoa; Mollusca; Bivalvia; Mytilida; Mytilidae
Exons: 2
Source: RefSeq, a predicted model, not a curated record
GGAAUACCAACAGAAAGAUUACUUAUAGCACUAGAACCGGACGUUGCUUCUGUCUAUGUACAGUGGCUUGAGACUGAUGAAUCAGAAUCUGGUGGAUAUAGUAUAGCAGCCCCAGGAACUAAAUAUCUAGUAGCUGACAUUGGCGGUGGCACAACUGGUAUAACGGUUCAUGAAAAGCUACACAGUGGAAAAAUAAAAGAAAUCAACAAAGCUUCCGGUGAAGGGUGUGGUGGAAGAUCUGUCGAUGCAGCUUUUUU